ACGACUUGAAGGAGUUUAUUGGAAAUGAUAAUACUACUGAUGAUGAAACACAAACAGUAUUGGAACGGAGAAUCUAUGGGAAAGGUGAAGGUGAUGGGGAGAAAAUGUGUUCGGUAUUGUAUAGAGAUAAGCUUGCAAAGACUUUCAAUUCGAUAGGAUAUGUAAAGUUUGAGAAUUUGGCUAAAAUAUCGCGGCCGAAGAAGAAAAAAUGGAAGAGAGAGGAAAAAGAGGGAAAUGGAAGGAAGAGGAGAGGGUAUGGGAGAAGUGAUAUGUCAAUGGUGGAGG
This 285-nucleotide unclassified non-coding RNA is filed under the name Hevea brasiliensis (rubber tree). Lineage: Eukaryota; Viridiplantae; Streptophyta; Magnoliopsida; Malpighiales; Euphorbiaceae. The record is from RNAcentral.